Molecule: ribosomal RNA, 654 nt
Filed under: Pachycephus smyrnensis
Lineage: Eukaryota; Metazoa; Arthropoda; Insecta; Hymenoptera; Cephidae
Description: partial 12S ribosomal RNA
Source: RNAcentral
AUGAGGCUGAGUGUUUCUCAUAUAGAAAUCAUCCGUAAGAUUGUAACAUGAGGGGUUAGAUUAUAAGGUGAAAUUUUAUUCCAAUUAAACUAACGUGAAGAUACUAGGAUUAGAUACCCUAUUAUUUUAAUUGUAAAUUAUAAUUGUUUAACAAAAUUAAUUAAAAUUAAGUUUGUUAAUUAAGUUAAUAAAUAUUAGUUUGAUAUUUAGUUUUUGAAAAAAUUAGGUAGUAAUAGUUAAGGUCUUGAAACUUUAAGAAUUUGACGGUAAUUCAUUCAAUUUAGAGGAACUUGUUUUUUAAUUGAUGAUCCACGAUAAAAAAUACCUAGUCUAUUAUUAAUAAUANUUUUUGUAUAUCGUCGUUUUUAAAGRAUUUUUAAUUUUUCUAAUAUAAUAUAUGUUGUGUAUAAUUAUAUAAAUUCAGAUCAAGGUGCAGNUUUAUGAUUAGGUUARAAUGAGUUACAAUAAAWUWWAUUUAUUACGAAUUUAAAAUUUUAUUUUUUAAUGAAGGAGGAUUUAAAAGUAAAUUUAAAUAAUUAUUUAAGUUGARAAUUGUUUUGAAUUAUGUACAUAUCGCCCGUCACUCUCUUUAUAAAAAGAGAUAAGUCGUAACAAAGUAAUGGUACUGGAAAGUGUCGUUAGAAUUAAUUUUAU